CUAAAAAAGGCAUUAAAGACUAAGAAUAGCCAAAGCAAAAGGCCAUUCCAUGGAAAGAAGCCGUUUUUCCAAACAUUGUUGGAGCCUCGAUGGAUGGAAGUGAGACAGGAAAGCCAACUCUGGAGUCUGGGAGUAGGUGCUUUACCUGGUGAUGCCACUUUGUCAACAUGGAAAAUGCCAUCAAAUUGAUGGUCUGCACAUAGCAAGAUUUCCUGUCCCUUUAAAGUCUUGUGGUCUGCGCAGUCGCCUUGAUGCCUGGCUCGCCUGCCUGGAGGAGGAAAGGUCCCUAAGUGUGCUGCUGCCUUCCUGCCCCAGAAUCCUUCAUCUGGCCUGGAGUCAGGAUUUGCCAGUUUCUCUUAAUACAGAUGGAGUGUGCUUUAAGCUUGCAGAUGUGAUUUGCUUUGAACAAUGUUGAUAGACAGACUUAAUGUCAACAAGAGUUUGGGAUGUGCUAGCAAAGUGGAGCUUUUGCAAUGGAAAUUGCAUGCCCCCAUCAGCCUAACAGUUCAAGAAAGAUGGUACUCAUGUGGAGAAAAUUCUGAAUCACCGAGGUGCCAUGGCCAACCAGCAGAUGUAUGAAUAUAAAGAUUUUUAUUUUAAGCCACUGAAUUCUGUUGUGGUUUGUUACCCAUCAUUACUUUAACAAUAGCUGACUGAUAUAACAGCAUAAUCCACAAAUAAAAAAAUUCAGAAACAAAUCUACUACUCA
This 709-nucleotide long non-coding RNA is filed under the name Vulpes vulpes (red fox). RNAcentral's name for it is "lncRNA (ENSVVUG00000012132.1)". Lineage: Eukaryota; Metazoa; Chordata; Mammalia; Carnivora; Canidae. The record is from RNAcentral.